This 294-nucleotide ribosomal RNA is filed under the name uncultured bacterium. Its description in RNAcentral is "partial 16S ribosomal RNA". It matches the Rfam family "Bacterial small subunit ribosomal RNA", at positions 775 to 1067 of the family's 1533-position model. The record is from RNAcentral.
GGAUUAGAUACCCUGGUAGUCCACGCCGUAAACGAUGAGAACUUGCUGUUGGGGUCUUUCGGGAUCUCAGUAGCGUAGCUAACGCGGUAAGUUCUCCGCCUGGGGAGUAUGGUCGCAAGACUAAAACUCAAAGGAAUUGACGGGGACCCGCACAAGCGGUGGAGCAUGUGGUUUAAUUCGAUGCAACGCGAAGAACCUUACCUGGUCUUGACAUACUCGGAACUUUCUAGAAAUAGAUUGGUGCCUUCGGGAGCCGAGAUACAGGUGCUGCAUGGCUGUCGUCAGCUCGUGCCG